UUUUAAAAUUAACUUAUGAUGUAUUCGCCCGUGGUACUUUGUUGGUGUUUCCUUUGAAUAUACAUGGUAUUAUAGAGAAAAGUGAGAGGACUAUGAUUGUAGGGAGAAUAAUUAGGAAUGGUAAGUGAGGUAUAUUUACUUAGAUUAAUAAAUAUUAAAUAAGUAAAAAUAUAGUUAACUUUUACACGAGCUUAAUAGGAGUUUUAAUAACUCUCCUUUAGUUUUAACCACCAUUGAAAAUAUUGAGUGACCACUUUUUAACUUCGUUUUAAUUACAGAAAGAUACUAAAUGAUGCUAGACUCUCUUAUAUAGGGUUGUUUAGUUGAAAUCUAAGACGGGUUAGAUAAAGCUCCUCUAUUAAAAAAGGGUUCUUUUUGGCCUCAACUCCAGUAUAGGGUAUUGAUAAAUUAUGGAGAUAUGGAAUAAGCAUGAGGAAGAUUAGGCGGGAUUAAUAUCGGUGCCAGCAUUCGCGGUUAAACCUAUACCAUCAAGCCAACAUUAUUGGUCGUGUCAGAGAGAAAUUAUAAUUAAAACACCUUGAUCUAUGUAAGAAACGGUAAAAUGUAACUUAAACUGAAUAAUUAAAGUUAUUUCGGUAUUGGUGGAUUAAAGUUAGUUUUUAAAAUGGAACCUAAUAAGGCUGCAACUAGAGACAGGGAUUAGUACCCCUUUAUUAAAGUUUUUAAAUUGAUGUGCGGAUACUACGAGCAAAAGUGCUUAAAACCCAAAAAGGCUGGCGGUGUUUCAAAUCCAGUUAGGGGAACUUGGCGAUUAAAUCGAUGAACCUCGCAAAUCUUACCUUUAGUUGUCUUUGCAUACCGCCGUUGAGAAUUGCAGUAGUGGAUAAAGAACAUUACACAAUAUUUAAGAGAAAGUGAAUUAUUAGUGUAGAAAUUCGUUUCAAUAAAAAUUCAGGUACACGUGUAGGAUCUAAAGGGUUUAGCUGAGUUACAAUUUUAAAGAAAAACGGACUAUAAAUUAAAAUUUAUAGAUAAGGUGAACUUAUUAGUAAAACUUUAUUAUUUAUGAAGUUUGAAUAGUGUUAUGAGAUGCGUACAAAUCGCCCGGCACCUCUGUAUACAAAAAAUCGGAGUAAGUCGUAACAUAGUAAUGCUAGUAGAAACUGGUGUUAAGUGUA
RNAcentral lists this ribosomal RNA (1139 nucleotides) under Cryptonema producta. RNAcentral's name for it is "12S ribosomal RNA". Lineage: Eukaryota; Metazoa; Mollusca; Bivalvia; Venerida; Veneridae. The record is from RNAcentral.